RNAcentral lists this ribosomal RNA (484 nucleotides) under uncultured bacterium. RNAcentral describes it as "partial 16S ribosomal RNA". It matches the Rfam family "Bacterial small subunit ribosomal RNA", at positions 28 to 507 of the family's 1533-position model. The record is from RNAcentral.
AUUGAACGCUGGCGGCAUGCUUUACACAUGCAAGUCGAACGGCAGCGCGGGCUUCGGCCUGGCGGCGAGUGGCGAACGGGUGAGUAAUGCAUCGGAACGUGCCCAGUAGUGGGGGAUAGCCCGGCGAAAGCCGGAUUAAUACCGCAUACGACCUGAGGGUGAAAGCGGGGGACCGAAAGGCCUCGCGCUAUUGGAGCGGCCGAUGUCGGAUUAGCUAGUUGGUGGGGGAAAGGCUUACCAAGGCGACGAUCCGUAGCUGGUCUGAGAGGACGACCAGCCACACUGGGACUGAGACACGGCCCAGACUCCUACGGGAGGCAGCAGUGGGGAAUUUUGGACAAUGGGGGCAACCCUGAUCCAGCCAUGCCGCGUGCGGGAAGAAGGCCUUCGGGUUGUAAACCGCUUUUGUUCGGGAAGAAAUCCUCUGGGCUAAUACCCCGGGGGGAUGACGGUACCGGAAGAAUAAGCACCGGCUAACUACGUG